This 807-nucleotide ribosomal RNA is filed under the name Triticum aestivum (bread wheat). Its description in RNAcentral is "partial small subunit ribosomal RNA". Lineage: Eukaryota; Viridiplantae; Streptophyta; Magnoliopsida; Poales; Poaceae. The record is from RNAcentral.
AUGAAGAAGCAACUAUUUGAGAAGGCCAUUCUCGGAAAGGUCAAGGCAUAUACAUAUGUCGUAGAGUUCCAAAAGAGGGGAUUACCCCAUGCUCAGUUUUUGCUCAUCAUGACUGGAAAAUACAAAUACACAUGUCCGGAAAAGUAUGAACAAAUCAUCUCCGCUGAGCUCCCUAACAAGCACAAAUGCCAACUAGAUAAUAGGUGGGUGGUUCCUUACAACCCAUAUCUUUUGCGGAUGUUCAACUGCCACAAAAAUGUUGAGAUAUGCUCAAGCAUUAAAGGCAUUAAGUACUUGUUCAAGUACAUCUAUAAGGGACAUGACCGAGCAUCUAUAUCUAUAACUGACAAAGUAGGUGAAGUCAAAAUUGACGAGAUUAAACAGUAUAGAGAUGCGCGGUGGGUGACACCUCCGGGAGCACUGUGGAGAAUAUAUGGCUUUGAAUUAAGCAAAAUACACCCACCAGUCUUGCAACUGCAGCUACAUCUUCCAAAUAUGCACAUGGUUUCAUACCAUGGCAUGGAAAAAAUAAAGAAUAUUAUCAACCGUGAUGGCACAGAAAGAUCAAUGUUGACUGCAUACUUUGAAGCAAACAGCUUACAUGAGAAAGCACGAGGCAUACUAUACAGAGACUUUCCGGAAUAUUAUACUUGGCAAAGACAAGGGAAGUUUUGCCAGGAAAGGAAACGAGAAGCUGUGUUCCAGGUUGGCAGGAUGGUCUUGGCACACCCGGCUAAAGGAGAACGAUAUUAUCUUCGGGUACUCCUAAACCACGUUACAAGCGGCACCAACUAUGAAGAACUAUGA